GGAGCCAGAAGAGGAGCGUUGCCCAGGUAGAUCGGAGCAGGACACCAGCGUCCUAUGAUGCCGAUUGAGGGGGAGCAGCGCCGAGAUGAUGCAGGAGACUGGUCUCCUCAUCAUCGGCUACGGGGGCUGAAUCCCCCGGGUUGUCAUCGGUAGUGUCUAUCCAAUACCCGCGCCAGACUCUGGCUGGGUACUGGAUGGGUUCUACAGGUGGAGCGCUUCUGGCCGG
Molecule: non-coding RNA, 226 nt
Filed under: Aeromonas molluscorum
Lineage: Bacteria; Pseudomonadati; Pseudomonadota; Gammaproteobacteria; Aeromonadales; Aeromonadaceae
Description: Lysine sequence
Rfam family: Lysine riboswitch aptamer
About the family: Riboswitches are metabolite binding domains within certain messenger RNAs that serve as precision sensors for their corresponding targets. Allosteric rearrangement of mRNA structure is mediated by ligand binding, and this results in modulation of gene expression.
Source: RNAcentral